Non-coding RNA from Paramuricea clavata, 738 nucleotides. NCBI's taxonomy places the organism in Eukaryota, Metazoa, Cnidaria, Anthozoa, Malacalcyonacea, Plexauridae. The record is from the annotation of a GenBank genome assembly.
AGGUUGUAUAAGAUAAAAUGAAUUCUCAGUUAUCGUCAUCGUCCUAUUCCUUGCUUCCUGUUCUUCAGAAUGGUUUGUUUGCAGAUUUAACAAUCACUGCAGACAGUGGACAACAGGUAAAGAUCGGCUAUUUACUGCAAAGACGUUCAAGCUAACAAAUGAUACCUUAUAUACCAUGAUAUUUAACGUGAAAUACUCUGCCAAAGACCUCGUUGGAGGUCCGCUGUCUAGUACCACAGUCCAAUAGCUAAACCAAACUUAUAUUAUUUUUUUAUACUGGAUAGCUCUACCAAUUGAUGAUUCCCCUUAUUAUGUUUUCAUAGCGCUUUGCAUUGUGGUUAUAGUGGUAUCGGUGAUAAAGGUAGCGGCCUCAAAUGAAAAUAUUGAAUGUUUUUGCGAAUAUUUUUACUGUUGGCUAUCGCGCACCUGACCCUAGCUUUUUUUAAAAGUUCUUGCACAGGUCAGGACAAAAAAUAAGCCAUCUUCAAUAUCAGUGAUACCACUAUAACCACAAUACAAAGCGCUACAAACACGUAAUAAGGGGAAUCUAGUAUUUGAAACUGUUCACCCUCUACAUCCAUCCUUCUACACAAUUUAUCUGGGUUAAUUUUUCUUGUUUUUAGUUUGAAGCACAUAAAGUUGUUCUCUGAGCUUGCCCAACAGUCGACUGGUCCGUAGUCUCUCCUCCGUUAUCAAACUGGCCUGCCGAUGCUAUAGAAGUGUCUCUACAUUACUUCU